This 254-nucleotide ribosomal RNA is filed under the name uncultured bacterium. RNAcentral describes it as "partial 16S ribosomal RNA". It matches the Rfam family "Bacterial small subunit ribosomal RNA", at positions 524 to 776 of the family's 1533-position model. The record is from RNAcentral.
UACGAAGGGGGCUAGCGUUGUUCGGAUUUACUGGGCGUAAAGCGCACGUAGGCGGUUUGUUAAGUCAGAGGUGAAAUCCCGGAGCUCAACUCCGGAACUGCCUUUGAUACUGGCAAGCUGGAGUCCGGAAGAGGUAAGUGGAACUCCUAGUGUAGAGGUGGAAUUCGUAGAUAUUAGGAAGAACACCAGUGGCGAAGGCGGCUUACUGGUCCGGGAACUGACGCUGAGGUGCGAAAGCGUGGGGAGCAAACAGG